GACGAACGCUGGCGGCGUGCCUAAUACAUGCAAGUAGAACGCUGAAGAGAGGAGCUUGCUCUUCUUGGCUGAGUUGCGAACGGGUGAGUAACGCGUAGGUAACCUGCCUUGUAGCGGGGGAUAACUAUUGGAAACGAUAGCUAAUACCGCAUAACAAUGGAUGACACAUGUCAUUUAUUUGAAAGGGGCAAUUGCUCCACUACAAGAUGGACCUGCGUUGUAUUAGCUAGUAGGUGAGGUAAUGGCUCACCUAGGCGACGAUACAUAGCCGACCUGAGAGGGUGAUCGGCCACACUGGGACUGAGACACGGCCCAGACUCCUACGGGAGGCAGCAGUAGGGAAUCUUCGGCAAUGGGGGCAACCCUGACCGAGCAACGCCGCGUGAGUGGAGAAGGGUUUCGGAUCGUAAAGCUCUGUUGUAAGUCAAGAACGGGUGUGAGAGUGGAAAGUUCACACUGUGACGGUAGCUUACCAGAAAGGGACGGCUAACUACGUG
This 497-nucleotide ribosomal RNA is filed under the name uncultured bacterium. RNAcentral's name for it is "partial 16S ribosomal RNA". It matches the Rfam family "Bacterial small subunit ribosomal RNA", at positions 28 to 507 of the family's 1533-position model. The record is from RNAcentral.